UACGUAGGGUGCGAGCGUUGUCCGGAAUUAUUGGGCGUAAAGCGCGCGUAGGCGGCUUUGCAAGUCGGGUGUGAAAUCCCCAAGCUUAACUUGGGAACUGCAUUCGAGACUGCAUUGCUAGAGUAUGGGAGAGGGAAGUGGAAUUUCCGGUGUAGCGGUGAAAUGCGUAGAUAUCGGAAGGAACAUCAGUGGCGAAAGCGACUUCCUGGACCAAUACUGACGCUCAUGUGCGAAAGCGUGGGAGCAAACAGG
This 252-nucleotide ribosomal RNA is filed under the name uncultured bacterium. RNAcentral describes it as "partial 16S ribosomal RNA". It matches the Rfam family "Bacterial small subunit ribosomal RNA", at positions 524 to 776 of the family's 1533-position model. The record is from RNAcentral.